UCGGUUUUUUUUUCCCCAAGUGUUCAUCCAAAACUCAAACAUCUUUCACCCUUACACGGUUUCACUCUCGUAACAACCUAUCGCCUCAAACCCUUACAUUAGUAACAGCGUUGAUUUUGUCUCAUGUCCCGGCAUCGAUUUUGCCUUGUCCCCCGCUAUCGAUUUGGCCAUCAUCGAGAUCCACAUGAGGAACCCACUGAACGUGUGCUGCUAUCGUUGCAUUUCAAAACCCUAACUGAAAACCCACCAUUGAUUAAGCUCAAUUUUUUUUAUUAACACAGGUAAUUAUUCUCCUUAUUUUCUCUUGCAUGUCAAUUUAAUUAAAAUUUUUUGCCAAUUUCAACACUAAAGGUGUAGUUCUAAGCACUAAAGGUUUAUCUCAAAUUUGUUCACUGUGUUAGAAAAAUGGAAUUUUUCCUUUUGUGCUCAAAUGUACUAGUUUGUUGAAAUGAACGAAAUCUGAACCUAUAGAAUGAUUUCGGUUUUGUUCUUGUGCGGCUAAUCACCUUAACAUUUUGUUCAGUCUUCAAAUUGGGGAUCCAAUUAUUUUCUUCUCAGUUCUUGUGCGGUCGAUCUUCUUUGUUGGCCGAGGGCUUUGCACCUAUGCUUCCAUUGAUGUUAUCGCAGCAGCACAGUCGAUUUGGGUCUUUUAAUACUUGAUUCUUUGAGGAAAAGUAACAUGUCUGCUUCAUGGACAUUUGUUGGAGCAAAGACUUUAGUAGAUAAUAAUGCUACUUCUGAGGUUAGCAUGACUUUGAUGCUCUGUUUUUGUAUGCAUUUAGUUACUGUACAAUUUUUGUUGCAAAGGCCUUACUGCUUAGCUUAGUUUUGCUUACUCAAUUAGUUAUAAUUUUUUUAAUUUGGCUGUGGUUUUUUGCAAAAUUUCUUUCCAAUCCAUAUUAGUUCACCUUUCUGACCAACUUGGAUAUAAAGACUGCGUCUAUUGGCUGUGGUUUUUUGCAAAAUGUCGUUCCAAUCCAUAUUAUAUAUUAUUAAUCUUUCAUUUGCAAUUGGUAUCGUAUGAAUAGCUUCAAUAUUGAAAUUUUAAUGAGUUUUUGAAGCUGGCUGUAGGAUGUGCAAGAAUUUAUUUUACCUUUCUGACCAACCUGGAUAUAUUAUUAAAACUCUAUCUAUUAGCUAUGUUUUUUGCAACGUUUCUUUUCAAUUCCUAUGAUUUACUUAUCAAUCUAUGCUCCAGAGCCUUAUGCCAAGAAUGGUUUUGCAUUUUAAUCAUAUUUCCUGCUACUCAAUGCGAUGAUUUUAUUUUUCACUCGGUGGACAGAGAGUUGGGUUUUACCUUUUCAUUUUCUAUUAGCAAACAUCAAUGGCAUCAUGAGAUCUUAUACAAUGGACUAAGGGCUGCUCUAAAGAGGAUAUGGUUAAUCGUACUUUCUCUACUCCUAUUUUGUAGCAUUUUAAUAAUGAUCCUACAACUAGAUAAUUGUAGUUGUAGCUUCCAGACUUGUUGAUUGUCCAAAAUAAGUGUUAACUGUAUUGAUAGUUUGUCUGCAUUGAUAGUUUGUCAUUCUUGCAUACAAAUAGACACUUUAGGUAUC
This 1556-nucleotide long non-coding RNA is filed under the name Citrus maxima (pomelo). RNAcentral's name for it is "long non-coding RNA (CMAX_LNC001805)". The record is from RNAcentral. Lineage: Eukaryota; Viridiplantae; Streptophyta; Magnoliopsida; Sapindales; Rutaceae.